RNAcentral lists this ribosomal RNA (859 nucleotides) under uncultured bacterium. RNAcentral describes it as "bacterial SSU rRNA". It matches the Rfam family "Bacterial small subunit ribosomal RNA", at positions 29 to 917 of the family's 1533-position model. RNAcentral also lists the same sequence under 1 other name. The record is from RNAcentral.
AUGAACGCUGGCGGCGUGCCUAACACAUGCAAGUCGAGCGAUUCUCUUCGGAGAAGAGCGGCGGACGGGUGAGUAACGCGUGGGUAACCUGCCCUGUACACACGGAUAACAUACCGAAAGGUAUGCUAAUACGGGAUAACAUAAGAAAUUCGCAUGUUUUUCUUAUCAAAGCUCCGGCGGUACAGGAUGGACCCGCGUCUGAUUAGCUAGUUGGUGAGGUAACGGCUCACCAAGGCGACGAUCAGUAGCCGACCUGAGAGGGUGAUCGGCCACAUUGGAACUGAGACACGGUCCAAACUCCUACGGGAGGCAGCAGUGGGGAAUAUUGCACAAUGGGCGAAAGCCUGAUGCAGCAACGCCGCGUGAGCGAUGAAGGCCUUCGGGUCGUAAAGCUCUGUCCUCAAGGAAGAUAAUGACGGUACUUGAGGAGGAAGCCCCGGCUAACUACGUGCCAGCAGCCGCGGUAAUACGUAGGGGGCUAGCGUUAUCCGGAUUUACUGGGCGUAAAGGGUGCGUAGGCGGUCUUUUAAGUCAGGAGUGAAAGGCUACGGCUCAACCGUAGUAAGCUCUUGAAACUGGAGGACUUGAGUGCAGGAGAGGAGAGUGGAAUUCCUAGUGCAGCGGUGAAAUGCGUAGAUAUUAGGAGGAACACCAGUAGCGAAGGCGGCUCUCUGGACUGUAACUGACGCUGAGGCACGAAAGCGUGGGGAGCAAACAGGAUUAGAUACCCUGGUAGUCCACGCCGUAAACGAUGAGUACUAGCUGUCGGAGGUUACCCCCUUCGGUGGCGCAGCUAACGCAUUAAGUACUCCGCCUGGGGAGUACGCUCGCAAGAGUGCAACUCAAAUGAAUUGACGGA